ACUCCUACGGGAGGCAGCAGUGGGAAUCUUGGACAAUGGGGGCACCCGUAGCAUCCAGCCAUGCCGCGUGAGUGAUGAAGGCCCUAGGGUCGUAAAGCUCUUUCGCCUGUGAAGAUAAUGACUGUAGCAGGUAAAGAACCCGCUAAUCCGUGCCAGCAGCCGCGGUAAUACGGAGGGGGUUAGCGUUGUUCGGAAUUACUGGGCGUAAAGCGCGCGUAGGCGGACUGGAAAGUUGGGGUGG
RNAcentral lists this ribosomal RNA (241 nucleotides) under uncultured bacterium. RNAcentral describes it as "partial 16S ribosomal RNA". It matches the Rfam family "Bacterial small subunit ribosomal RNA", at positions 335 to 596 of the family's 1533-position model. The record is from RNAcentral.